This 92-nucleotide transfer RNA is filed under the name Nematostella vectensis (starlet sea anemone). It matches the Rfam family "tRNA". From Rfam's summary of the family: Transfer RNA (tRNA) molecules are approximately 80 nucleotides in length. Lineage: Eukaryota; Metazoa; Cnidaria; Anthozoa; Actiniaria; Edwardsiidae. The record is from Rfam by way of RNAcentral.
GCCUCGUUAGCGCAGUAGGCAGCGCGUCAGUCUGAUAAUCAAAUAAUCAAAUAGAAAUCUGAAGGUCGUGAGUUCGAUCCUCACACGGGGCA